Molecule: long non-coding RNA, 7007 nt
Organism: Brassica napus (rape)
Lineage: Eukaryota; Viridiplantae; Streptophyta; Magnoliopsida; Brassicales; Brassicaceae
Exons: 18
Source: RefSeq, a predicted model, not a curated record
UUGGGCUAUUUUGGGCUUUUGUUAUUUAUAUUCAAAUUUUGAAAGUUUUUUUUUUAACAUCAAAACUUGAAAGUAUAUAAACACUAACGUAUUAAAAUGGAUCAUCAAAUAGCCGUUUAGCUAGAGGAUCAUGGCUUUUGAAUCCGAACUUGGAUAUUGGAGGUUUGCUUUCUUAUUUUUUUCCAAAGUUAUAUUUAAGGUUUCAUCUCGAUAAUUCGUUUUCUUCGUGAACAUGAAUUGGUUUUUUCUUUUCUUCUUCUUCUUUUCUCUAUCUAAUUUUCUUGUAGCCAUUUAUAGAGAAGAAUUUGAAUCAGAACUUGAAACUGGGUGUUUAUUUUUGUUAAAGAAUGUUUAGGUUUCGGCGACCAUUGUUAAUUUCAAAUUUAAUCUGAAUAUUUAGGUUUCAAUCUCACUCAGAGGAAGAUACGAAGACGGCGACGUUCCGUACAAUCCCCGGGGUAUCGGUGAGUGCUAACGCCGCAAAUGUCGCUGAGUUCGACAGAACGACGUCGUUUCUUCGAUUCCUUUGCAACCGAUUCCGAGAAGCUCCGGUCCGAUCAACGGUUUAGGUUUAUUCGCGUUCGAGAGGACGACGUCGUUUCCUCACCGGUUCUCAGAUUUGUUCAUGUUUAAUCAUCAGGUAAUGAAUUUGUUCGAUUAAUUGUUUUUUUUUUCAAUUUUCAUCAUCACUAGUUUUUUUCCUCUUUCAGUUUUUCUUGUGGGAUUUUAGGUUUGCAGUUAUACAUCGCGAAAUUUCCAGAAAUCAUCUGGGAGGUGGUGUAACUUUACUCUUUUGAUUUUUAUAGUUUCACAAAUUGUAUCUUUCUUUUGCAGUAAGAGCUCAGAAACUACGUAGGGUUUUUCUCAAUCACUCAAAGUAAUACACAUCUGCAUGCAUUGAUAUGCAUUCAAACAUUCAUCAUGUGCAUUCAUACAUUCAUCAUAUGCAUUCAUCGUAUACAUAUGCAUACAUCCAUAUAACAUACAUAAUACAUACCCAGCUUACUUCUUUCUUUUUUAGAUUUUUUUUAUUUACCGCUUGCUUCUUUUUUAUUUUUUGUUUCUUCGUUGAUUCUUUGCUUCUUUGUCCUUAUUUUCUUUGUUGUCUAUUCUCUUUGCCUCCUUCCUUGGUUUCGUGUUUUCUUAGUUUCUUCUUUGAUUCUUUGGUUUCUUGAUUCAAUUGUUUGUAUAUCUGCUUGCUCGAUAAGUUGGUUUCUAUUUCUUCUACAACGGAUGGAUCCCGUAAGGCAUCUGACACUUCUUCUCGUGAUAUAUACUUUUACUCAACUGACCUUUUUAUAUCUGCCUUUUCUCUAACUUAUUCAGUUUCUGACAUGCAAGAUAAUACCUCAGAGUCUUAGAAAAACGGCUAGAUCACAUUAGCAGGAUCCACGGAAAUAAGCGUCAGUACUCCCAAAGAGAUGGCUGCUUGCCUUGACCAAUCAGUCCAGUCGUUCACAUGACAUUUUCACUAUCACUGUGGAACAAAUGCGCAAGAUCAAUACAGAUUCUCCUGAAAAUGGUAUUUACAAUGGGAGCUUGAAAGAAGAGUAUCAUUGUGCCAAGUUGCACAUAGUAUACCUUGCCGGUUCAGAACGAACCAAAAGAACUGGUUCUGACGGUAUGAAAGUUAAAGAAGGAGUUUACAUAAAUAAAGGCCUCCUUGCGCUGGGUAAUGUCAUCAGUGCGCUUUAAGAUGAGAGAAAGCGCAAAGAUGGUGCUCAUGUUCCUUACAAAGACAGUAAACUUACACAUAAAUAAAGCUUGCAUCAGUACUGCAGAUAUUAAUGCUGAGGAAACACUUAACACACUUAAAUAUGCCAUCCGUGCUCGAAACAUCCGGAACAAACCUGUUGUUAAUAGAGAUCAUGUGUCCAGUGAGAUGCUGAAAAUGCGCCAACAGCUAGAGUACUUGCAGGCAGAGCUUCCCUUACGGGAUGGAGGAUCCUCAUGUGCGAACUCCAGGAUGAAAUCAUCGGUCUCGUCAAACCUGAUGGGCUAAAAAGGAGCUUGCACAGUAUGGAGUCGUCCAAUUAUGCUAUGGUUGAAGCCACAAUAGGUGAUUCAAGGGAAAUAGAUGAAGAGGCAAAAGAGUGGGAGCACAAACUCUUGCAAAGUAGUAUGGAUAAAGAGUUGCAUGAACUGAACCGUCGUCUGGAGGAAAAGGAGGUCUCUUUCACUUGUUUUCUUAGAACUAAAACGUCCUGGAGGGUUUGAGAUUUAUUCUUGUCCAUAACUACAUAAUCGAUGUGUGAAAAUAGUCUGAAAUGAAGCUUUUUGACGGCUAUGAUCCGGCUGCGCUAAAGCAACAUUUUGGGAAGAAAGUUGCAGAGGUGGAGGAUGAAAAGAGAUUUUUUCAGGUGGAAUAUGUUUUGCAUUUGAUGCUCAAGUCUCAUCAAAAAGGAUCAUUUUGAGUUGUUGAACUGUUCGGUUAUUUCUUGCUUUAGGGAAGAGAGAAACCGUUUGUUGGCUGGAAUUGAAAACCUUGCUUCUGAUGGUGAAGCACAGAAGUUGCAAGAUGUGCAUGCUCAGAAUUUGAAAUCGCUUGAAGCACAGCUUCAGGACCUUAAGAAAAAUCAAGAGAACCAUUGUCAGCUACUGAAGCAGAAACAAAAGAGUGACGACGCUGCUCGGAGGUUAGAGGAAGAAUUCUAUCCAUCAAGGCACAUAAGGUUCAGCUGCAACACAGAAUGAAACAAGAAGCAGAACAGUUUCGACAGUGGAAAGUCUCCCGGGAGAAGGAACUUGUGCAGGCAGAAAGAGCGAGUAUAAAAGGCAUAAGCUACAAGCUUCGAAUCAGCGCCAGAAAAUGAGGAAGAUAGAAGAGGCUGCAAUGGGUACCAAGAGAUUAAAAGAAUUGUUGGAAGCUCGGAAAUCUUCUCCUCGUGAACACACAUGUGGUACACACGGUUUUGGAACAAAGUAGGCGUUGCAGCGAUGGCUAGAUCAUGAAUUGGAAGUCAUGGUGAAUGUACAUGAAGUACAAGAAACAAAGCCAUGUGUAUGUCUCCCCAAUGCAUUUAGCCUUUGUAAUAAGUUAAUCAUCACCAAGACUGUUCACUUUGUGUGGUUAGCCUUGCCGGAGAGUUUUCUGUGUUAAGACAAGUGGAUGAGUUGGCAGUGAAAGGCUUAAGUCCUCCAAGAGGGAAGAAUGGCUUUGUUUGGGCAUCAUCGUUGUCACCUAAUGCAAGGAUGGCUCGAAUAUCUUCACUUGAGAACAGCUCGGCAUAUCUUCAAAUUCUCUAGUAGCCAUGGCCUCACAACUCUCUGAGGCAGAAGAACAUGAACGUGCUUUAACAAACUGUGGCUGCUGGAACCAGCUACGUUCAGUGGGAGAGGCAAAGAACUUGCUUCAAUAUAUGUUCAACUCUCUUGCAUAAACAAGGUGCCAAGCUUCUUCCUUAAUUCUUUGAUUUCUUAACUCAAAUGUUUGCAUUUCUGCUUGCUGGAUAAGUUGGUUUGUAUUUCUUCUACAACGGAAAAGGAUCAUAUAAUACCCCAUGCUCUUAGAUAAACGGCCAGAUCACAUUAGCAGGAUUCACUGAAGUAAGCGUCAGUACUCCCAAAGAGAUGGCUGGUUGCCUUGACCAGUAUUGUAUUGUUUGUUUAGGAGAAUGUCUGAUGGAUCCAAAGGAUUAACGAUACAAAAAUAAAUAUAUGUACUCUCCUUACUUCUUUAAAACGGUAAAAUGACAUAAGAAUUUGCUUCUAGGAAGGAGAAUUGGAUUAUUUCACAUAAGUCGACAUUAUAUCGUUGCAUUACUGACUUUCAAUGAAAUUUUUUGAGGUUUUUUUUCAUUAACAUUUUCCACUCUUUUCUUUUUACCUACAUUCAUAGUCCCGAACAUAUUUUUGUCUUUUGCUUCUCAGGUAUGCUUGUUUCCACACUUGCAUUGCACAUCCCUGUUCAAUGUAUAGGGUCUCAUUAGAUGUAUGAAAUCAUGACUUUUUCUUUGUUCAAAAGUAGUUUCGUUUGCUUGAAGCUGCAAAUCUUUAUUCGUUACUGAUAGGACAUUUGUGACCAGUUUAUCAAACUGUUUCAGGACUGUCAGGACAAAGGUACAAUUAUUUAGAUAAUCUAGAAGGAUCUUGCUACACACGUAUCCUACGUAGUCAAAGACACGUUUUUGCUUAAUCAGGUCCAUUGCAGAUGGAACUCUAAAUCCUUCUGCCAGGUAUUUGUCUUCGCUUUUAUUCAGUUUACAUGUGAUGCACUUUAGGUAUCUGACAUCAUUCUAGAGUUGAAUAAGAGUGUAUUUGGAUAUGAUAAAGUCAAUAUUCAUCUGGAGACAUGUGAAGCUUGAGCUAACUGCAAAAUGAAACAUAAUGAGACUAUGUUCGAGUAAUGAAGACUAACUACUAAGCAAACACCAUCUCGCUUAUUUUUGUUGUUGUUCAUAGGUGCCUUUCUUCUAUAUUACGUCGGCUUUCUUUCUGUUGCUCUCAAUUCAAGUCCCAUGUUAGAAUACAGUUGGAGCAAUCAAAAGUUCUUUCACUUUAAUAGUUCAUAGAAACUGCAAAAGUGAGAAUUCACUUGAAACAUUUGUGAAGGCAUAAUGUUUUUCUAAUCGAUUAAUAUGUGUAUGUUCUUUUCAUCUUGGGUGGUGGUGGUGAAGUGAAGGAUGUGUGCUUAUUAAGAAAAGUAUCGAGAAUUCACUGCAGAGGUGAAAACAGUUGAAAGCGACUCUGGAUUGCAGAUACUCCAUCCGGUGAGGUGUUGGUCUGGCAAAAAAACAAAUAAGGCAGUGCUUGAGAGUGGAAAUUUCAAGAAGAAUUUGCAUCUUUCAACUAACUCAAGCUUCACUCUCUUCCGGUAUGGUGUUCAUUCUCAUUGUUUUAUUCAGUCUUCGAUUUUCUUCUAUGAUUUGAAAGUUAAUCUCUCUUUUAUGUUCAGUGUAGCAGAUUUCAUAGCCAAGGUAGCCGAGAACAUUAUAGGUAUAUACUAUCGAAAUCACAACAGUUAUGCUAUCCACAGAGAGUGUGAUCGUUGUGAUUUCAGGACAUGCAUUCAUGCAUCACAUUCAUACAUACAUGCAUAUGUUCAUGCAUUGCAUACACACAUACAUUCAUGCAUAUUUGCAUCCUUUAUUCUAGUUUUGUUCAUUUCUUUCAUCAUAUGCUUAAUUUAAUUGAUUUCUUGCUUAUUUAAUCAAUUUGAUUGAUUCUUUCUUUUUGGUUUCUUCGUUUCCUUGAUUGCUUCCGUACAUGCUUAAGUUGUUUACUUGCUUUCUUUUGUGAUUCUUUUUGGUUUCUCUGCUUCUUUCUAUUUUUCUGCUUAGCGCUUUGGUUGCUUUUUUUGGGUUUAUUGUUUACUGCAUGGCUUCUUUGCUACUUUUUCUUAUUUGCUUACAUGCUUCUUAAAAUGCAAUAAAUUAUGCAUAGCUAAAUAUUAUCACUCUUACAGUUUAUGUAACUUGCAGUAAAAACUAUGUCGUAAAACCUAUUGAUUUAUGUGGUGAGUUCGCUGUAAAAAUAUGAGUUACUAUUUUUCCAAUAGUGUUGAUUGGUAACAUUUUCGAUGUAUAAGUUGCAGUAUAUAUUAUUUUUAAAAAAUAUAAAUAAUAUUUAAUACAAUUUAAUAAGAUAUUUUAAAAAUAAAAUACAUAAAUUAACAUUAACUAAGGAUAUUGAUCUAUAUAUAUAUAUAUAGCUCCCAUAUAUAUACAAAUAUUUUAUGUACAUAAAUUUUUAAUUACCAAACAAUAUUAAAAAUUAAAAUUAUUUGAAAAUUUUAAUGGACUAUUUAAAUGGGAAUUAUACAAAUAUUUUAUUUACCUAAAUUUUUAAUCAUCAAAGAAAUUAACAACUAAAAUUAUAGAUUUUUUUUAACUAAUGAAAAUGAAAAUACUUUUCAGAAAGGCUUUUUUGUAUAAUUUUGAGAAAAACUUUGGCUAACAAGUAUAUAACCAUAUUAAUUGUUAAAUAUAUUGUAUUAAUUAAUAUAAACUAAAUGUACACAACUACAACUACGUGAUUAUGUAUUUGUAAAUUGUUAAAUUUGCUAAAAUUCAUAAAGAAGGCGUGGGGUAGUUAAUAGACAAAACUAAAAAUUUCUAACUCAAAUCUUAAUACAUGAGAUUUUUGUUGAUGUUGAUUUAAGAUUUGAGUUAUCAUUUUUACAAAGAUUAUAACUCAAAAUUGUUACUCAACAAUAAACAAUUGUAACUCAAACACAACUUCAAAAUUUUAAAACUAAUUCAUGAUUGGUAACAUUUUUUAUUUAUGUGCUUAACCCAACCUAAAUCAAAUGUAAUACAUGUUACCAAUCAACGCCUAUGUUUUAUUUUAUAGCUGUGUAUUCAAAAAUAUUAGUUUUAGUCUUUUAAACAGUAAUUAAUACAAAUAUAAUUUAUUAACAAUAGACAAUUAUGUUAAUUGUUUCAGUUGGUUAGUUUUCCGUAAAUUGUUGUCUAAAUUAUGUACAAUAUUUAUCAUUACCAACAAUAUUUAACAUAUUUAGCAAAAUUCAAAAAGACAAAUUAAAAUAUUUACGCAUUCUCAUUUUGCAAAAUAUUAUAACAGUAAUGACACCAAAAUUUAUCGUAAUCAAAAACUAAUAACUUGAUACAAUUUUAAUAAAAAAUUAUUAGUCAAAAAUAUGCCCGUGAAUCAAAACCUAGUAAUAGUCUUAAUUUCAUAUGAAAGAUUAUAAUAAUUGUUUGAAAAACUUACUUACCACAUGUCCAUUGCGCAUAUAUACUUAUUAAAAUGAGUUUUUUAGAAAUUCAAGAGUCUCCAUUACUUAUCUUCUGUUAGAUACUCUUGUAAUAAGAAUUAUUUCUAACUGUUAAUUUUCAAAAGAAAAUAACAAUUACAUAAAUAAAUAUGUUAAAAAUACUUAAAUUAAGAAUACCUUUAGAAUUAUUUUGAUCCAUGAAUUAUCAGUUGAGCAAUUUCAUUGAGAAUUUCCUAUAGAGUAAAUAACUUGAUAUAUCAUAAGAAAUUUAUGAGAUUACGAGAACUUUUGGUGUCAUUAAUAUAGGUUCAGUCACUUUUUAACAACAUUU